AGCGAACGCUGGCGGCAGGCUUAACACAUGCAAGUCGAACGGGCGUAGCAAUACGUCAGUGGCAGACGGGUGAGUAACGCGUGGGAACGUACCUUUUGGUUCGGAACAACCCAGGGAAACUUGGGCUAAUACCGGAUAAGCCCUUACGGGGAAAGAUUUAUCGCCGAAAGAUCGGCCCGCGUCUGAUUAGCUAGUUGGUGUGGUAACGGCGCACCAAGGCGACGAUCAGUAGCUGGUCUGAGAGGAUGAUCAGCCACAUUGGGACUGAGACACGGCCCAAACUCCUACGGGAGGCAGCAGUGGGGAAUAUUGGACAAUGGGCGCAAGCCUGAUCCAGCCAUGCCGCGUGAGUGAUGAAGGCCCUAGGGUUGUAAAGCUCUUUUGUGCGGGAAGAUAAUGACGGUACCGCAAGAAUACG
This 418-nucleotide ribosomal RNA is filed under the name uncultured bacterium. RNAcentral's name for it is "bacterial SSU rRNA". It matches the Rfam family "Bacterial small subunit ribosomal RNA", at positions 29 to 490 of the family's 1533-position model. The record is from RNAcentral.